AUCUACGAUCAGGAGCAAGUAACUCGUGGGUCACCUGCUUUUGAGGGAUACCAUCUAGUCAUAACCUGAACAAAAUGUUCAGCAGGGGUACUUGCGGUUGAUAUUGUUUACUCUGGUAACAAAACUGUCUUUAACAAAAUAUGCAUUUUGUGGCACGAAAGGUCGCAAUUCAGAUAAUGGAAAGAAAGGGGUGUAUAUCUACUUUGGGUGAUGUUAAAGUUCACCCUUUCCCAACCCUGGAAAAAAAUGUCCACGCAGAGGAAACGAUGGCGUCAUUUGUUUAGAAAACCACGAGCAGCAGAACAGUGCAGAAAAUUAGAGCGAUUAUUACAUUCCGUAAAAGCUGAACCAACACAGAAGCAUCCCUGUUCUAGCCAUUUCACCAUAUGAAAGGCGAAGAUUACAAACAGUGAUCCAAGUUUUAAGAAAGCCAAGAGGUUGAUAACAAUGACUGUACUCCUGAUGUUAACUGGAAUUAUUGACUGGUAUGCAGUAAAACAGCUGAGGGAAAGUUCAACUAUUAAUUCAUUUUCAAUUAUCAUAUUAUCAUAUCAAUUAUCAAUUUUCAUAAUAUCAAUUUCAGCCGGGUAAGAAUCAAUAUCCUUUUGUGUAUUAUACAUCUGCAAUUCUGUUCUUUUGCUGCUUCAAAUCUAGUGUAUUUGAAAUUUUAAUUCUGAUAUUUUGGUAUCAUUAUAGGUAGUCUGGCAGUAUUAUAGGUAUCUGGCAGUAAUGGCAUGACAUCAUGAGAGUUAACCAACAUGGUUAAUGAUGUAUAGAGACACUGCCUGAAGACCUCGAGGGAAAGGCAAGGAAAAUGGAUGAUCCACUUCCUAUAUCCCUGUAAAAAAGAGGAAGGAUACCACAAUAUUGAAGAUAAAUUAUUGUCAAUUCAAGAAGCAAAGUUGUGAAAAUGCAAAAACAAUAUUUAAUGUAUUUGUUAGAAAAAUAUCAUUAACUGCAUAUAUAUUUCUUGACCUUAUUCAGGAAUACAUCAGAUGUAGUCAUUCAUAUUAAAACUGAAUCUAUGAAUUUUCAUAACUUUUAUCAAUAAAGUUUACUAUAUUCAUUUUACAUGAAUCUAAUUUCCCUAAUACAUUGUACUUAUGGGAGUUUGCUUGCAUUCAAUGUUCUGACAUGAAUCCGAAAAUGUACAUAUUUCAUCACAAGAGCCCUCCUGGGCACUAAGCAUGUGUCAUGUAUAAAGCAGACUCAAACAAGAUCUACCAACAUAAUAUUUGAAUGAACACAAACGGUCUUAGAUACUCUUUCUUUUCCUCUGCAAUAUAUGGCAUUAAACAGCAUUAAUUCUUUUCUUUUUCAAUUUUGUAAAUAUAUACAAGUCAAUUAACUUUUCUCAAACUUUUGAUGCAUAUAAUGGAUUUUCUCUGUACUGCUACAUCUAUGUGCACAGAAUGGAAAUGAUGUCACUAAGAGGAAUAUACCUUAAUCAUGAGCAGAUAUAUUUUGUUCAAUGAUAACAAUUUGACCAAUGAUCACAAAUACUCAUGACAUUGGAAUUAUGAAAAGUCAUUGUAAUGCAUGUAUCACUUUCAUACUAAAAAUUCUUGAAAGACUUGUGACGCAAGUAUUAGUUGAUAAAUAAUAAUUUUCAAAUAUUGAUGUUUAAAUUAGGGAGGAUAUCAUUUAUAACUUAGUAGAUAUGAUAUUAAAUUAUUCUCACCCAUAUAA
Molecule: long non-coding RNA, 1689 nt
Organism: Ostrea edulis (European flat oyster)
Lineage: Eukaryota; Metazoa; Mollusca; Bivalvia; Ostreida; Ostreidae
Exons: 2
Source: RefSeq, a predicted model, not a curated record